CACAAACUAGAUCAAGUUAAGAUUAAUACAGUAAAAAAGUGGUAAAAGGCCUACUGGUGUCCCAUAGGACACCGGCAUUACAAGAAAAAUUACGUUUUCUAUAGAGGUGGAAUUUGUGUAGAAAAACUAAAUUACUGUUUUCUUGCCCACUUGAAGCCACGAAAUCUCAGUUAAAAACCGGGAUUAGAUACCCCGUUAUUUGAGAUGUAAAUUUUGAUUUUUUUUAGAAAAUUUACUUGAGCAUUACGGGCCCUAUAAAUCUACACUUAUAGGAACAGCCUAAAACUCAAAAGACUUGGCGGUGCCUUAAAUCCUUCCAGGGGAACCUGUCCUGUAAUUGAUAGUCCACAAUUUACCUUUCCUUUUUUUGAAUUUAUACCAGUCUGUAUACCGUCGUCGUCAGAUUACCUCUAAGAGAAAAAGUUAUCGACUAAAAAAGCUUUUCUUUUCAUGCUAUUACUAGCUUUGAUAAUGGAAUGUCCUCUAAACGUCAGAUCAAGGUGCAGCCUACGAAAAGGAAGAGAUGGGUUACAAUGAAUAAUUAUUAUACGAAUUUCUUUUUGCAAAAUAAGUCUAAAGGAGGACUUGGAAGUAAUUAUUAGAGAAAUAGAGAGUCUCGGUGAAGAUGGCUCUAAGGCGUGU
This 642-nucleotide ribosomal RNA is filed under the name Lunella undulata. RNAcentral's name for it is "partial 12S ribosomal RNA". It matches the Rfam family "Bacterial small subunit ribosomal RNA", at positions 616 to 1384 of the family's 1533-position model. The record is from RNAcentral. Lineage: Eukaryota; Metazoa; Mollusca; Gastropoda; Trochida; Turbinidae.